This 520-nucleotide ribosomal RNA is filed under the name uncultured Glomus. RNAcentral describes it as "SSU rRNA". It matches the Rfam family "Eukaryotic small subunit ribosomal RNA", at positions 569 to 1090 of the family's 1831-position model. Lineage: Eukaryota; Fungi; Glomeromycota; Glomeromycetes; Glomerales; Glomeraceae. The record is from RNAcentral.
AGCAGCCGCGGUAAUUCCAGCUCCAAUAGCGUAUAUUAAAGUUGUUGCAGUUAAAAAGCUCGUAGUUGAAUUUCGGAAUCGACGGAUUGGUCGCGCCUUCGGUGUGUACUGGUCUUGCCGGUUUCUCCCUUCUGACGAACCACGAUGUCAUUAAUUUGGUGUCGUGGGAAAUCAGGACUGUUACUUUGAAAAAAUUAGAGUGUUUAAAGCAGGCAUUAGCUUGAAUACAUUAGCAUGGAAUAAUGAAAUAGGACGUUUGAUCUUAUUUUGUUGGUUCCUAGGAUCGACGUAAUGAUUAAUAGGGAUAGUUGGGGGCAUUAGUAUUCAAUUGUCAGAGGUGAAAUUCUUGGAUUUAUUGAAGACUAACUACUGCGAAAGCAUUUGCCAAGGAUGUUUUCAUUAAUCAAGAACGAAAGUUGGGGGAUCGAAGACGAUCAGAUACCGUCGUAGUCUUAACCAUAAACUAUGCCGACUAGGGAUCGGGAUGAUGUUAAUUUUUAAUUGAUCAUUCGGCGCCUUA